GUGGGGAAUAUUGGACAAUGGGGGCAACCCUGAUCCAGCCAUGCCGCGUGUGUGAAGAAGGCCUUUUGGUUGUAAAGCACUUUAAGCAGUGAAGAAGACUCUAUGGUUAAUACCCAUAGACGAUGACAUUAGCUGCAGAAUAAGCACCGGCUAACUCUGUGCCAGCAGCCGCGGUAAUACAGAGGGUGCAAGCGUUAAUCGGAAUUACUGGGCGUAAAGCGAGCGUAGGUGGCUUAAUAAGUCAGAUGUGAAAUCCCCGGGCUUAACCUGGGAACUGCAUCUGAUACUGUUGGGCUAGAGUAGGUGAGAGGGAGGUAGAAUUUCAGGUGUAGCGGUGAAAUGCGUAGAGAUCUGAAGGAAUACCGAUGGCGAAGGCAGCCUCCUGGCAUCAUACUGACACUGAGGUUCGAAAGCGUGGGUAGCAA
This 425-nucleotide ribosomal RNA is filed under the name uncultured Psychrobacter sp. RNAcentral's name for it is "bacterial SSU rRNA". It matches the Rfam family "Bacterial small subunit ribosomal RNA", at positions 354 to 771 of the family's 1533-position model. The record is from RNAcentral. Lineage: Bacteria; Pseudomonadati; Pseudomonadota; Gammaproteobacteria; Moraxellales; Moraxellaceae.